This 468-nucleotide ribosomal RNA is filed under the name uncultured bacterium. RNAcentral describes it as "partial 16S ribosomal RNA". It matches the Rfam family "Bacterial small subunit ribosomal RNA", at positions 28 to 507 of the family's 1533-position model. The record is from RNAcentral.
GACGAACGCUGGCGGCGUGCUUAACACAUGCAAGUCGAACGGAAAGGCCCUGCUUUUGUGGGGUGCUCGAGUGGCGAACGGGUGAGUAACACGUGAGUAACCUGCCCUUGACUUUGGGAUAACUUCAGGAAACUGGGGCUAAUACCGGAUAGGAGCUCCUGCUGCAUGGUGGGGGUUGGAAAGUUUCGGCGGUUGGGGAUGGACUCGCGGCUUAUCAGCUUGUUGGUGGGGUAGUGGCUUACCAAGGCUUUGACGGGUAGCCGGCCUGAGAGGGUGACCGGCCACAUUGGGACUGAGAUACGGCCGAGACUCCGGCGGGAGGCAGCAGUGGGGAAGAUUGCACAAUGGGCGGAAGCCGGAUGCAGCAACGCCGCGUGCGGGAUGACGGCCUUCGUGUUGUAAACCGCUUUCGCCUGUGACGAAGCGUGAGUGACGGGAAUGGGUAAAGAAGCACCGGGUAACUACGUG